RNAcentral lists this ribosomal RNA (467 nucleotides) under uncultured bacterium. RNAcentral's name for it is "partial 16S ribosomal RNA". It matches the Rfam family "Bacterial small subunit ribosomal RNA", at positions 29 to 507 of the family's 1533-position model. The record is from RNAcentral.
AUGAACGCUGGCGGCGUGCUUCACACAUGCAAGUCGAACGGUGAAGGCGGAGCUUGCUCUGCUGGAUCAGUGGCGAACGGGUGAGUAACACGUGAGCAAUCUGCCCCUGACUCUGGGAUAAGCGCUGGAAACGGCGUCUAAUACUGGAUACGAGCUGCGAAGGCAUCUUCAGCAGCUGGAAAGAAUUUCGGUCAGGGAUGAGCUCGCGGCCUAUCAGCUUGUUGGUGAGGUAAUGGCUCACCAAGGCGUCGACGGGUAGCCGGCCUGAGAGGGUGACCGGCCACACUGGGACUGAGACACGGCCCAGACUCCUACGGGAGGCAGCAGUGGGGAAUAUUGCACAAUGGGCGAAAGCCUGAUGCAGCAACGCCGCGUGAGGGACGACGGCCUUCGGGUUGUAAACCUCUUUUAGCAGGGAAGAAGCGAAAGUGACGGUACCUGCAGAAAAAGCGCCGGCUAACUACGUG